Molecule: long non-coding RNA, 551 nt
Filed under: Physcomitrium patens
Lineage: Eukaryota; Viridiplantae; Streptophyta; Bryopsida; Funariales; Funariaceae
Description: long non-coding RNA (PPAT_LNC002125)
Source: RNAcentral
AAAUUCAAAGAAACCUCAAAAGAAUUUCAAAGAAAUAAUAAGAAAUCUUAAAAAAAUAUUAGAAUGAUCACAAAUAUAUCUCAAAUACAUCUUAAUUAAAUCUUAAUUUAAUCCUACUUAAAAUCCUAUUAAACUUCAUUCAAACUUUAGGCCAAAACUAACUAAAUCUUAAAUCCUAAAAAAAUCCUAAUAAAAUUCUAAACCCUAAAUCAAACCCUAUAAAAAUCCUAAACUAAAUCUCAAAAAAAUACUAAACCAAAUCCUAAUCAAACCUUAAAUCCUAAAUCAAACCCUAAUUAAAUCCUAAACCCUAAAUCAAAUUCCAACCAAACUCUAAAUUAAACCCUAAUCAUAUUCUAAAUCUUGAAUCAAAUCCUAAUCAAAUCCUAAACCAAAUUCUAAAUCCUAAAUCAAAUCCUAACCAAACUCUAAUUCUAAAACAAAUCCUAACCAAAUUCUAAAUCCUAACCAAAUUCUAAACCCAAUCUAUAACCAAACCCUAGUAAUUCCUACAACAGAUUUAAACCUCAAUAACUAAUGAAUGAAUCAUU